AGCUGCCUGUGCUUCCAUUAUCCGUUUAUGGUGCGGUUGCAAUGGCUCAUAGUGAUGUAUCGGAGGAGUUAUCAUCACCAAGCCAGUUCUUCUUUUAUCUUUACGAUAAGAGAAAUUCUGGCUUGGGAGGUUUGUCAUUUGAGGAGGGUCAAUUUUCAGUUUUCGGAUAUACAACUAUCGGGUAGAGAUAUCC
Long non-coding RNA from Nicotiana attenuata, 193 nucleotides. RefSeq lists it as uncharacterized. The transcript is spliced from 3 exons. The record is from RefSeq and is a predicted model, not a curated record. NCBI's taxonomy places the organism in Eukaryota, Viridiplantae, Streptophyta, Magnoliopsida, Solanales, Solanaceae.